Cyprinus carpio carpio is the source of this 416-nucleotide long non-coding RNA. Lineage: Eukaryota; Metazoa; Chordata; Actinopteri; Cypriniformes; Cyprinidae. The record is from Ensembl.
CUCCAACCCAAGACUUCACCACAGCAGAGGAGCUGGCCCUGGACUUAAAUAAAGGGAAGCCAGUGAUUGAAGGGAUCCAGGGAGGGACAGCCACUGCCUCUGGCCCAGCAAGGGAUACUGGCCUCCUCAUACAAGUGGCUGGUAACACCCUUACACUUUUGGAGCCACCAGACUAUAAUUCAUCGAGGGAAGCCACAUCUACAGCAGUGGAGUGCACUUCUGCUGAUGAUGAGACCGUGUCGCUGGACUCCAGAAGGCUCGAGGAUCCUGACAUUGGGCAGCCUGGCAACAUAAAUUCACAAACUGUCAGAUAUCUCUACACAACGCAUCUUAAGAGACAUAUCAAGCUGACAGAAGUCAAGAUUGAUGUGAACAAAAGAAAGCUGCAGGACAUGGACCUUGAGAUGAAAAUUUAA